ACGUAGGAGGCUAGCGUUAUCCGGAUUUAUUGGGCGUAAAGCGCGUGCAGGCGGUCUAUCAAGUUGGAUGUGAAAGCUCCUGGCUUAACUGGGAGAGGUCGUUCAAAACUGAUAGUCUCGAGAAUGGUAGAGGGAGGUGGAAUUCCGGGUGUAGUGGUGAAAUGCGUAGAUAUCCGGAGGAACACCAGUGGCGAAAGCGGCCUCCUGGGCCAUUUCUGACGCUAAGACGCGAAAGCUAGGGUAGCAAACGG
RNAcentral lists this ribosomal RNA (251 nucleotides) under uncultured prokaryote. RNAcentral describes it as "partial 16S rRNA". It matches the Rfam family "Bacterial small subunit ribosomal RNA", at positions 525 to 775 of the family's 1533-position model. The record is from RNAcentral.